GAUGAAGAACGUAGUGAAAUGCGAUAAGUAGUGUGAAUUGCAGAAUUCAGUGAAUCAUCGAAUCUUUGAACGCACAUUGCGCCCCUUGGUAUCCCGAGGGGCAUGCCUGUUCGAGCGUCAUUUCACCACUCAAGCCUGGCUUGGUGUUGGGCGACGUCCUCUUUGGGGACGCGCCUCGAAACGCUCGGCGGCGUGGCACCGGCUUUAAGCGUAGCAGAAUCUUUCGCUUUGGAAGUCGGGGCCCCGUCUGCCGGAAGACCUGCUCGCAAGGUUGACCUCGGAUCAGGCAGGGAUACCCGCUGAACUUAAGCAUAUCUAAGCGGAGGA
RNAcentral lists this unclassified non-coding RNA (327 nucleotides) under soil metagenome. RNAcentral describes it as "partial contains 5.8S ribosomal RNA, internal transcribed spacer 2, and large subunit ribosomal RNA". The stretch from base 1 to 120 matches the Rfam family "5.8S ribosomal RNA", at positions 35 to 154 of the family's 154-position model. The record is from RNAcentral.